GGUUAAGCGACUAAGCGUACACGGUGGAUGCCCUGGCAGUCAGAGGCGAUGAAGGACGUGCUAAUCUGCGAUAAGCGUCGGUGAGGUGAUAUGAAUCGUUAUAACCGGCGAUUUCCGAAUGGGGAAACCCAGUGUGUUUCGACACACUAUCAUUAACUGAAUCCAUAGGUUAAUGAGGCGAACCGGGGGAACUGAAACAUCUAAGUACCCCGAGGAAAAGAAAUCAACCGAGAUUCCCCCAGUAGCGGCGAGCGAACGGGGAGGAGCCCAGAGCCUGAAUCAGUGUGUGUGUUAGUGGAAGCGUCUGGAAAGGCGCGCGAUACAGGGUGACAGCCCCGUACACAAAAAUGCACAUAUUGUGAGCUCGAUGAGUAGGGCGGGACACGUGGUAUCCUGUCUGAAUAUGGGGGGACCAUCCUCCAAGGCUAAAUACUCCUGACUGACCGAUAGUGAACCAGUACCGUGAGGGAAAGGCGAAAAGAACCCCGGCGAGGGGAGUGAAAAAGAACCUGAAACCGUGUACGUACAAGCAGUGGGAGCCUCUUAAUGGGGUGACUGCGUACCUUUUGUAUAAUGGGUCAGCGACUUAUAUUCUGUAGCAAGGUUAACCGAAUAGGGGAGCCGAAGGGAAACCGAGUCUUAACUGGGCGUUAAGUUGCAGGGUAUAGACCCGAAAUCCGGUGAUCUAGCCAUGGGCAGGUUGAAGGUUGGGUAACACUAACUGGAGGACCGAACCGACUAAUGUUGAAAAAUUAGCGGAUGACUUGUGGCUGGGGGUGAAAGGCCAAUCAAACCGGGAGAUAGCUGGUUCUCCCCGAAAGCUAUUUAGGUAGCGCCUCGUGAAUUCAUCUCCGGGGGUAGAGCACUGUUUCGGCAAGGGGGUCAUCCCGACUUACCAACCCGAUGCAAACUGCGAAUACCGGAGAAUGUUAUCACGGGAGACACACGGCGGGUGCUAACGUCCGUCGUGAAGAGGGAAACAACCCAGACCGCCAGCUAAGGUCCCAAAGUCAUGGUUAAGUGGGAAACGAUGUGGGAAGGCCCAGACAGCCAGGAUGUUGGCUUAGAAGCAGCCAUCAUUUAAAGAAAGCGUAAUAGCUCACUGGUCGAGUCGGCCUGCGCGGAAGAUGUAACGGGGCUAAACCAUGCACCGAAGCUGCGGCAGCGACGCUUAUGCGUUGUUGGGUAGGGGAGCGUUCUGUAAGCCUGUGAAGGUGUGCUGUGAGGCAUGCUGGAGGUAUCAGAAGUGCGAAUGCUGACAUAAGUAACGAUAAAGCGGGUGAAAAGCCCGCUCGCCGGAAGACCAAGGGUUCCUGUCCAACGUUAAUCGGGGCAGGGUGAGUCGACCCCUAAGGCGAGGCCGAAAGGCGUAGUCGAUGGGAAACAGGUUAAUAUUCCUGUACUUGGUGUUACUGCGAAGGGGGGACGGAGAAGGCUAUGUUGGCCGGGCGACGGUUGUCCCGGUUUAAGCGUGUAGGCUGGUUUUCCAGGCAAAUCCGGAAAACCAAGGCUGAGGCGUGAUGACGAGGCACUACGGUGCUGAAGCAACAAAUGCCCUGCUUCCAGGAAAAGCCUCUAAGCAUCAGGUAACAUCAAAUCGUACCCCAAACCGACACAGGUGGUCAGGUAGAGAAUACCAAGGCGCUUGAGAGAACUCGGGUGAAGGAACUAGGCAAAAUGGUGCCGUAACUUCGGGAGAAGGCACGCUGAUAUGUAGGUGAAGCGACUUGCUCGUGGAGCUGAAAUCAGUCGAAGAUACCAGCUGGCUGCAACUGUUUAUUAAAAACACAGCACUGUGCAAACACGAAAGUGGACGUAUACGGUGUGACGCCUGCCCGGUGCCGGAAGGUUAAUUGAUGGGGUUAGCGGCAACGCGAAGCUCUUGAUCGAAGCCCCGGUAAACGGCGGCCGUAACUAUAACGGUCCUAAGGUAGCGAAAUUCCUUGUCGGGUAAGUUCCGACCUGCACGAAUGGCGUAAUGAUGGCCAGGCUGUCUCCACCCGAGACUCAGUGAAAUUGAACUCGCUGUGAAGAUGCAGUGUACCCGCGGCAAGACGGAAAGACCCCGUGAACCUUUACUAUAGCUUGACACUGAACAUUGAGCCUUGAUGUGUAGGAUAGGUGGGAGGCUUUGAAGUGUGGACGCCAGUCUGCAUGGAGCCGACCUUGAAAUACCACCCUUUAAUGUUUGAUGUUCUAACGUUGGCCCGUAAUCCGGGUUGCGGACAGUGUCUGGUGGGUAGUUUGACUGGGGCGGUCUCCUCCUAAAGAGUAACGGAGGAGCACGAAGGUUGGCUAAUCCUGGUCGGACAUCAGGAGGUUAGUGCAAUGGCAUAAGCCAGCUUGACUGCGAGCGUGACGGCGCGAGCAGGUGCGAAAGCAGGUCAUAGUGAUCCGGUGGUUCUGAAUGGAAGGGCCAUCGCUCAACGGAUAAAAGGUACUCCGGGGAUAACAGGCUGAUACCGCCCAAGAGUUCAUAUCGACGGCGGUGUUUGGCACCUCGAUGUCGGCUCAUCACAUCCUGGGGCUGAAGUAGGUCCCAAGGGUAUGGCUGUUCGCCAUUUAAAGUGGUACGCGAGCUGGGUUUAGAACGUCGUGAGACAGUUCGGUCCCUAUCUGCCGUGGGCGCUGGAGAACUGAGGGGGGCUGCUCCUAGUACGAGAGGACCGGAGUGGACGCAUCACUGGUGUUCGGGUUGUCAUGCCAAUGGCACUGCCCGGUAGCUAAAUGCGGAAGAGAUAAGUGCUGAAAGCAUCUAAGCACGAAACUUGCCCCGAGAUGAGUUCUCCCUGAGACUUAGAGUCUCCUGAAGGAACGUUGAAGACGACGACGUUGAUAGGCCGGGUGUGUAAGCGCAGCGAUGCGUUGAGCUAACCGGUACUAAUGAACCGUGAGGCUUAACCUU
RNAcentral lists this ribosomal RNA (2905 nucleotides) under Escherichia coli. RNAcentral's name for it is "23S ribosomal RNA". It matches the Rfam family "Bacterial large subunit ribosomal RNA". Lineage: Bacteria; Pseudomonadati; Pseudomonadota; Gammaproteobacteria; Enterobacterales; Enterobacteriaceae. The record is from RNAcentral.